RNAcentral lists this ribosomal RNA (859 nucleotides) under uncultured bacterium. RNAcentral's name for it is "bacterial SSU rRNA". It matches the Rfam family "Bacterial small subunit ribosomal RNA", at positions 8 to 916 of the family's 1533-position model. The record is from RNAcentral.
AGAGUUUGAUCAUGGCUCAGAACGAACGCUGGCGGCAUGCCUAACACAUGCAAGUCGAACGAGACCUUCGGGUCUAGUGGCGCACGGGUGCGUAACGCGUGGGAAUCUGCCCUUGGGUUCGGAACAACAGUUGGAAACGACUGCUAAUACCGGAUGAUGACUUCGGUCCAAAGAUAUAUCGCCCAAGGAUGAGCCCGCGUAGGAUUAGCUUGUUGGUGAGGUAAAAGCUCACCAAGGCGACGAUCCUUAGCUGGUCUGAGAGGAUGAUCAGCCACACUGGGACUGAGACACGGCCCAGACUCCUACGGGAGGCAGCAGUGGGGAAUAUUGGACAAUGGGCGAAAGCCUGAUCCAGCAAUGCCGCGUGAGUGAUGAAGGCCUUAGGGUUGUAAAGCUCUUUUACCCGGGAUGAUAAUGACAGUACCGGGAGAAUAAGCCCCGGCUAACUCCGUGCCAGCAGCCGCGGUAAUACGGAGGGGGCUAGCGUUGUUCGGAAUUACUGGGCGUAAAGCGCACGUAGGCGGCUUUGUAAGUUAGAGGUGAAAGCCCGGAGCUCAACUCCGGAAUUGCCUUUAAGACUGCAUCGCUUGAAUCAUGGAGAGGUGAGUGGAAUUCCGAGUGUAGAGGUGAAAUUCGUAGAUAUUCGGAAGAACACCAGUGGCGAACGCGACUCACUGGACAUGUAUUGACGCUGAGGUGCGAAAGCGUGGGGAGCAACACGAUUAGAUACCCUGGUAGUCCACGCCGUAACGAUGAUGACUAGCUGUCGGGGCGCUUGGCGUUUCGUGGCGCAGCUAACGCGUUAAGUCAUCCGCCUGGGGAGUACGGCCGCAAGGUUAAAACUCAAAGAAAUUGACGG